RNAcentral lists this long non-coding RNA (518 nucleotides) under Fukomys damarensis (Damara mole-rat). RNAcentral describes it as "lncRNA (ENSFDAG00000033225.1)". Lineage: Eukaryota; Metazoa; Chordata; Mammalia; Rodentia; Bathyergidae. The record is from RNAcentral.
GCUGGGUAGGGUUGCUAAGGGAGGGCGAGGUGGGCAUGGGGGGGCUGAUCUUCGGUGGUCAGUUGUGUUCCCGGAAUCUAAACUGAGCAGAUUAUUCCCCAAAACUCUCGUGUUAGGAGUCGGGGAGAACAGCACAGAGGGGACUAGAGUUUAAAAUGGAGGCGCCCCUGUUUAUAUCAUUUGGUAGGAAUGAUGAGGCUGUGGUUUCUCGCAUGUGCAAUUCCAUUGCUCAGCUGAUCUCACAAGAGGCGGAGCUCAGGCAGUGAGGCCAGCAUGGGGGCAAAUGGCUGUAAAAACAGAUGGAGCCUGUGGGGCUCGGUUCCGGGAAGGCAGUUGGGAAACUCCUGAUGUAGAAGAGACACUACAGGAAGACAAAGCCACAAUGCCAUCUGUCCUGGCAUGAUGCCACCAAGAGGGGCUUGCCAGAGCCAGUGCCAUGCUGUUUGGACUUUGGGUCUCCACGCUGUGAAGCAGCCAGCCGAACCACUGAACUAAAUCCUCAGCUGGGUCUCCACAAC